GCCUGGGUGGCUCAGUGGUUGAGCUUCUGCCUUCGGCCCAGGACAGGAUCCCGGGGUCCUGGGAUCGAGUCCCAGAUCAGGCU
Molecule: transfer RNA, 83 nt
Filed under: Canis lupus familiaris (dog)
Lineage: Eukaryota; Metazoa; Chordata; Mammalia; Carnivora; Canidae
Also listed under: 1 other name
Rfam family: tRNA
About the family: Transfer RNA (tRNA) molecules are approximately 80 nucleotides in length.
Source: Rfam by way of RNAcentral